ACAUCACAUCUUCCCAUCUCCUGGCUGACUUCCUCCCUUUACCCUAACUUCUCCUAGCCAGGCACACUCUGCACCACGGCCUCGCAAGCACACACUGAAGCUAUAGACCUGCAGCACCAAAUGAGACUGUCGGAAGAUCAAACCCGGACCUCAGGACAGGAACAGGGCUGUGGUUCCCGCUCUGACAGCCGUCUCCAUUUCCCUGGAGGGAGCAUCCGCUCCCACAUCCUCCCCAGACUUCCAAGGCACACAUAAAAAUUGGAUCCCUGCUUUCUCUUUACUUUUAUCUCUGCUGUGUGCUCUGGGGAGUUUUUUUACAAAACAAACGAACAUGAACUUCAAGGUAUGAGGAGUGUAAAUCACUGCAAACUCUCCAGGCCUCCAAAUGCUACAAACACUGCUUAGCCAAGGACCAAAGAAAAGCCCGCUCUUCUCAAUGUGCAUUCUCAAAGGGCACACCCAGCUCCUCUUCAUCCUCAUCUCCCAGAGACAACUUAAACAGUGACCAUAAGCAUCUCCUAAGAGCCAGACAAGAGACACCAGCUGCUUUCUUGAAGCUCUCCAUGAAUUGGGAGUGGGGUCAGGUGUCUGUCAUGUGAUUCAGUGCUCUCCAAUGAUCAUAUGCUCUGACAACUGGGAUCUUCUAGUUAGAAGUACUUCCCAAGGAAGCCGUGUCAGGGAAAUCUGUCUGCAACAUCUGCCACCAAGAUGCAAUUAUUGAAGCCUAAUUAAUCUGAUUCCCAUUUUUUAUUAAUCACCAACGAAUGUCACUGCUGAGCCAAGCCUGUGAUCAGCACGAGAUAAUGGGUGCUGUUAUGAAGCUGGAAUGAGGCCAAGCUAAAGAUAAGCUAUCAGGAGUUUCUAAUUAAGACUGAGCUAGCCUGCAGACCACCCCACAUUAUGUCUGUGAAACCCUGAGAUGCCGAAGACCCUGGCUUGUGGGAUCACUGAUUUGUUCCUAUUACAUCAUUUCACAAAAGAUUAGAGACUAUCACUACUCCUGCAUUCCCCACCAAGACCUGAGCUAGGCACUCCAUGCACAUCUCAUUUAAUCCCUCCAACCAUCCUCUUCCCAACAUUCAGAAUCACGAAGUGAAGACUUGAAAUCUGGUCUCCUUGAUUCUAAAAGUCCAUGUUUUUCUACAUGGUGAAGGAUGGAUGGUCCACUGCAAUGGGUAGCCAGCUGCAGUCACUACCCGAGUCUGUAAGAGUACCCUCCCGCUGCCACUAUGCAAAAGCAACAGAGUAAAGAGAGAAAAGUACAGGCUCCUGAGUUAUGCACAGCCCUGGGAAUUUCACAUUCAAGCAGCAGUCUAACAGAAAAAAAAUUUUUCUUUGUUUUCUAACCUUAAAAAAUAAUGAGCACAAAGGAGCUUGAGAAGUCUAUGGGCACAGACAAACAUUUCCAAGCGAAUCAAUAUGCAAAUGGCCAUCUCUGCCUGGGCUCCCUUGGCCUUCAGCUCUGCAGCAGGGCAGAGCGGUAUGAGAGGCAUUUUUCAAGAAGCGGUUUAGGAUUACAAGGUGGAAUUAUUAUUUAUCCAUUCCAAAUAUGAGGCUUGCUAAUUAGGUCAUAAUGGUUCUCAUUUAUCAUGGCACUGAGAGCAUGUGUUCUAUUGAUCUACGGGGUUGUCCGUGAGCACCAGGCUCUUCCUAACACCAACUAUUCUCAUGAACCCUCCUGGAAACUCACUUGAGGGAUGCAGGCCUGCUGAGAGGAAGGAGGUGCUACUGUCACCUGUCCAGCGGGGUUGCAAAGCCUGGGGCUUUGUCCUCAGAGUCUUCUCCAAGUUGUCUGGGACCUGCUAGUUCGGGCGGCAAAGUUGGAGCUCUCGUGGUUAUGUCGUUAGCAGCUGAGAAGAGAAAAUCUCAACUAGUAGGUACAGGAAUUAAGCCCUUAAUUUCAGAAAGAACCCAGGAGCUAAAGGACAAAGGAGUUCUGGCUAAAGCACCAGGAAGUCAAGACCCUUAUUCACACUCACCAACAGCAAGAGGACGGUCUCUUUUAUAGUUUCCGCUACCUAGUCAGGUGCAGGUCAUGGCCAUUGAUAAAUAAGGCUGAGUGGCUACAGUCUGCUCCAUGGCCCUUCUUAAGAUUUAGGAUAAGCUCUGGUCCUGUUGCUUGCUGCUUGCAAACCUUUGGGUAGCCAACAUUACACCCCUCUACCCCAAGGGCCUAAUUGUGAAGCAGAAAAAGAAAUCGCCAGGAAGUCUCCAAAAGACAGAACUUGUCAAACACUUGGUGCAUAGCGGACACUCAAAGUUUUGUGAUUCAAUUUCCUCUUCAUCCUCAGAGACAGAUCAGCUUGCUCCCCACAAGACACCACUGCAGGUGUAAGUCAGUGCAAAGUGUAGGACAGGGUGUGAGGGAUGCCCUAAGGUACAGAGGCUAGAAGGGAGUUAUGCAGCAGAGUAUCCAAUCCUGAAGGAUGAUACAAGCAACUCCCCGGAGCCAGACUGCUGAUAACACUAAGCCAUCAAAUUAACUCAAGGGACGGCCUCUGUGUCAAGUACUGUUGGGAAAGCCACACUACUGUCCUCACUGGGGAUAUCAAAUGCACCCAAGGCUCACAACAGUGCUCCAGCCGAGAAACACAAUUCACACUGGCUUGCCAGUCUUUCCCAUAUGUCUCUGUAGCAGUGUGGAUGUAACUGCCCCCAUAAGCUCAUAGGGAGUAGCACUAUUAGGAGU
Long non-coding RNA from Onychomys torridus (southern grasshopper mouse), 2689 nucleotides. RefSeq lists it as uncharacterized. The transcript is spliced from 3 exons. The record is from RefSeq and is a predicted model, not a curated record. Lineage: Eukaryota; Metazoa; Chordata; Mammalia; Rodentia; Cricetidae.